This 497-nucleotide ribosomal RNA is filed under the name uncultured bacterium. RNAcentral's name for it is "partial 16S ribosomal RNA". It matches the Rfam family "Bacterial small subunit ribosomal RNA", at positions 28 to 507 of the family's 1533-position model. The record is from RNAcentral.
GAUGAACGCUGGCGGCGUGCCUAAUACAUGCAAGUCGAGCGAACGGACGAGAAGCUUGCUUCUCUGAUGUUAGCGGCGGACGGGUGAGUAAAACGUGGAUAACCUACCUAUAAGACUGGGAUAACUUCGGGAAACCGGAGCUAAUACCGGAUAAUAUUUUGAACCGCAUGGUUCAAAAGUGAAAGACGGUCUUGCUGUCACUGAUAGAUGGAUCCGCGCUGCAUUAGCUAGUUGGUAAGGUAACGGCUUACCAAGGCAACGAUGCAUAGCCGACCUGAGAGGGUGAUCGGCCACACUGGAACUGAGACACGGUCCAGACUCCUACGGGAGGCAGCAGUAGGGAAUCUUCCGCAAUGGGCGAAAGCCUGACGGAGCAACGCCGCGUGAGUGAUGAAGGUCUUCGGAUCGUAAAACUCUGUUAUUAGGGAAGAACAUAUGUGUAAGUAACUGUGCACAUCUUGACGGUACCUUAUCAGAAAGCCACGGCUAACUACGUG